UGAAAUCACAUUCUAGGGGUUUAUUUUUGAGUCAAUUUUUGUUUUGACAUUUUGAGAGUCUUGGUUACCAAAAAAAAGCUAUUGAUCCAACAGUUGAAUGACCAUCAGUUUGUUCAUGGCUCCUCCCUGUUGAAAGCAACAAGCUCUGGCAUAUACAAAAAACCUCUUCUAAACCUCUCUGACAUCUCAGCUACAAAACCUCCAACUCAAUAAUACAGAGACACUGAGAAUGGAAACGAAAGUGUUCAUCUGUGUUCUGUGUGCCUGUUUGGUAACACUCUUAGUGCAUAAGACAUCACCAGCCCUAAUAAAUGAAGGCAUAUUUCUAUUAUACAAACCCUCUCAGCAAGGUCCUGAAGGUCCUGUUAAUGGAAGUAAUUACGAGCAGGUGAGUGCCAUUUUUGCUUUAAAAUUGAGUAAUAUUAGAAGCCAUGAUCAUAUUAUAUAUCAUGCUGUAAAUCUCACCUCUAGUGAGAUAAAGAACUUUAAAAGCUUUCAGAUUAAAUUUAUGUUCUUUUAUCCACAACAGAUGACUAACCAUACCCUAAAUACAAAUACAACCCAAGAAAGUAUUCUGGAAAAGACCAUUGCGCCGAACCUUGCAGAGGUACUGUUCAGUGCCUUAAUUUCUCAUAACUACUCAUGAAUCUAUCAUGUACACAAUACAAUUUUAUCUAGGACUUGUAGGGUUCUCAGGGAAAUUUUAUGUCAUUUAUGAAGUUAUAUGAGGUUUUUUGGUCAUCAUUUAUUCACACUCGUGUCGUUCCCAACCGUAUACUGUUAUUGUUUGCAUGGAACACAGAAGGAGGUAGUUUGAUAUUUAUAUUCACACAACCACAUACAUGGGGGUGAGUAAAUGAUAACACAAUGCUAACUAUUACUUUAAAUGAUUUACAUAUGUUUGUUACAGCCAUAGCUGCUUGUGGUUUGUCAAAUAACACAUGAGGGCCCUCUUGUGUGCAGCCUUUAGUAAAAUAACAUGUAAACCAAGAGGGCUCUCAGUCUACAGUCCGUCAGCCCUAGAUGAGAGUCAUGAGGUCUUGGGUUUUUGUCCUUUGCUCAGUUAUUCUAACCUCAGCAAACUUUAGUGAAAAAAGUAAACUUCAGUUAGUUUUUAAGCUCUCUCUCUCUCUCUCUCUCUCUCUCUAUAUG
RNAcentral lists this long non-coding RNA (1152 nucleotides) under Sinocyclocheilus anshuiensis. RNAcentral describes it as "lncRNA (ENSSANG00000049522.1)". Lineage: Eukaryota; Metazoa; Chordata; Actinopteri; Cypriniformes; Cyprinidae. The record is from RNAcentral.